CCUACGGGUGGCAGCAGUGGGGAAUAUUGGACAAUGGGGGGAACCCUGAUCCAGCCAUGCCGCGUGUGUGAAGAAGGCCCUCGGGUUGUAAAGCACUUUCAGUGAGGAAGAACGCCUGGUGGUUAAUACCCAUCAGGAAAGACAUCACUCACAGAAGAAGCACCGGCUAACUCCGUGCCAGCAGCCGCGGUAAUACGGAGGGUGCGAGCGUUAAUCGGAAUUACUGGGCGUAAAGCGCGCGUAGGUGGCUUGAUAAGCCUGUUGUGAAAGCCCCGGGCUCAACCUGGGAACGGCAUCCGGAACUGUCAAGCUAGAGUGCAGGAGAGGAAGGUAGAAUUCCCGGUGUAGCGGUGAAAUGCGUAGAGAUCGGGAGGAAUACCAGUGGCGAAGGCGGCCUUCUGGACUGACACUGACACUGAGGUGCGAAAGCGUGGGUAGCAAACAGGAUUAGAUACCCCAGUAGUC
Molecule: ribosomal RNA, 465 nt
Filed under: Vreelandella stevensii
Lineage: Bacteria; Pseudomonadati; Pseudomonadota; Gammaproteobacteria; Oceanospirillales; Halomonadaceae
Description: partial 16S ribosomal RNA
Rfam family: Bacterial small subunit ribosomal RNA
Source: RNAcentral